This 497-nucleotide ribosomal RNA is filed under the name uncultured bacterium. RNAcentral describes it as "partial 16S ribosomal RNA". It matches the Rfam family "Bacterial small subunit ribosomal RNA", at positions 28 to 507 of the family's 1533-position model. The record is from RNAcentral.
GACGAACGCUGGCGGCGUGCCUAAUACAUGCAAGUUGAGCGCUGAAGGUUGGUACUUGUACCAACUGGAUGAGCAGCGAACGGGUGAGUAACGCGUGGGGAAUCUGCCUUUGAGCGGGGGACAACAUUUGGAAACGAAUGCUAAUACCGCAUAAAAACUUUAAACACAAGUUUUAAGUUUGAAAGAUGCAAUUGCAUCACUCAAAGAUGAUCCCGCGUUGUAUUAGCUAGUUGGUGAGGUAAAGGCUCACCAAGGCGAUGAUACAUAGCCGACCUGAGAGGGUGAUCGGCCACAUUGGGACGGAGACACGGCCCAAACUCCUACGGGAGGCAGCAGUAGGGAAUCUUCGGCAAUGGACGAAAGGCUGAACGAGCAACGCCGCGUGAGUGAAGAAGGUUUUCGGAUCGUAAAACUCUGUUGGUAGAGAAGAACGUUGGUGAGAGUGGAAAGCUCAUCAAGUGACGGUAACUACCCAGAAAGGGACGGCUAACUACGUG